This 429-nucleotide ribosomal RNA is filed under the name Gemmatimonadota bacterium. Its description in RNAcentral is "Gemmatimonadetes bacterium partial 16S ribosomal RNA". It matches the Rfam family "Bacterial small subunit ribosomal RNA", at positions 355 to 776 of the family's 1533-position model. Lineage: Bacteria; Pseudomonadati; Gemmatimonadota. The record is from RNAcentral.
UAGGGAAUCUUCGGCAAUGGACGAAAGUCUGACCGAGCAACGCCGCGUGAGUGAAGAAGGUUUUCGGAUCGUAAAACUCUGUUGUUAGAGAAGAACAAGGACGUUAGUAACCGAACGUCCCCUGACGGUAUCUAACCAGAAAGCCACGGCUCACUACGUGCCAGCAGCCGCGGUAAUACGUAGGUGGCAAGCGUUGUCCGGAUUUAUUGGGCGUAAAGCGAGCGCAGGCGGUUUCUUAAGUAUGAUGUGAAAGCCCCCGGCUCAACCGGGGAGGGUCAUUGGAAACUGGGAGACUUGAGUGCAGAAGAGGAGAGUGGAAUUCCAUGUGUAGCGGUGAAAUGCGUAGAUAUAUGGAGGAACACCAGUGGCGAAGGCGGCUCUCUGGUCUGUAACUGACGCUGAGGCUCGAAAGCGUGGGGAGCAAACAGG